This 490-nucleotide ribosomal RNA is filed under the name uncultured bacterium. RNAcentral's name for it is "bacterial SSU rRNA". It matches the Rfam family "Bacterial small subunit ribosomal RNA", at positions 338 to 808 of the family's 1533-position model. The record is from RNAcentral.
CCUACGGGAGGCAGCAGUGGGGAAUUUUGGACAAUGGGCGCAAGCCUGAUCCAGCAAUGCCGCGUGCAGGAUGAAGGCCUUCGGGUUGUAAACUGCUUUUGUACGGAACGAAACGGUGAGCUCUAAUACAGUUUGCUAAUGACGGUACCGUAAGAAUAAGCACCGGCUAACUACGUGCCAGCAGCCGCGGUAAUACGUAGGGUGCGAGCGUUAAUCGGAAUUACUGGGCGUAAAGCGUGCGCAGGCGGUGAUGUAAGACAGAUGUGAAAUGCCCGGGCUCAACCUGGGACCUGCAUUGUGACUGCAUCGCUAGAGUACGGUAGAGGGGGAUGGAAUUCCGCGUGUAGCAGUGAAAUGCGUAGAUAUGCGGAGGAACACCGAUGGCGAAGGCAAUCCCCUGGACCUGUACUGACGCUCAUGCACGAACGACGGUGGGGAGGACGAACGAGGAGUAGUAUACCGUACGGUAGUACCGACCGACCCGUAACCG